Molecule: long non-coding RNA, 2393 nt
Filed under: Homo sapiens (human)
Lineage: Eukaryota; Metazoa; Chordata; Mammalia; Primates; Hominidae
Description: non-protein coding lnc-CRAT-1:2
Source: RNAcentral
GAACUUUGGUGGGAGCUUUGGUUCGGCUGGGACCUGCGCCCUGAAUGAAGGCUUCCCUGGUACCCCCUGCCGAUCCGCGGUCUUGGGGACCUGCGCGUCCGAUAGCGCGUGCUCGAAGAGGAGAGGCAACCUCAGCUCCAGGGGGUUUGAACCGACCCACUUUCAGUUACGAGUAAACUGAGACCAGAGAGCAGAGGGGGCUUAUUUCCCUCUGCCCCAUACUGGCCGGCGAAAGGGCAAGUCACACAGAGCAGGCGACCUUUUUGUCAAAAGUGUGUGGGGCGGGGCGCGCAGUAGGCGCCCUAAACGCUGGACUGAACAGAGAAGCUUAAUUGAUACUUAAGAGUGGAAGCUUAGCUACAGUUAAGGACUCCUUCCUCCUUUCAUUCAUUUAAUAAAGAUUUAUUGAUUCAGUCACGUCUAUGCUACUUAAUGAGGCGUCUUGGGAGCAUUUCAAACAAGAAGUCGGUUUUCCACCUACCCCUCAGUUUUCCCAAGACAUUCCUGCGUGAACAGCCACACCUUCCCACCCGCCUUCACCUCUCCUACCCGACUCUGUCUCUGGCUGGAUUGGAUUACAGUGCAGGUAAGGUGGGCUGGGAGGGCUCAGCCUCUUGUCUCCUGCCGCUAGCAUGUGCUGUUUUUGUCUGUUUGUUUGUUUUUUGAGACAGGGUCUUGCUCUGAGGCCCAGGCUGGAGUGCAGUGGAACGAUCUUGCUCAGCCUCCUGGGUCCAAGUGAUUCUCCUGUCUCAGCCUCCCGAGUAGCUGUGACUACAGGCGCGCACCACCGCAUCCGGCUAAUUUUUGCAUUUUUAGUAGAGACCGGGUCUUACCAUGUUGGGCAGGCUGGUCUCGAACUCCUGGCCUCAGGUGAUCCACCUGCCUCGGCUCCCAAAAUGCUGAGAUUACAAGCGUGAGCCGCCAUGCCCAGCUAAUUUUUUUUUUUUUUUUUUGAGACGGAGUCUCGCUCUGUUGCCCAGGCUGGAGUGCAGUGGCACGCCCGGCUAAUUUUCGUACUUUUCGUAGAGACGGGGUUUCACCGUGUUGGUCAGGAUGGUCUUGAUCUCCUGACCUCGUGAUCCGCCCACCUCGGCCUCCCAAAGUGCUGGGAUUACAGGUGUGAGCCACCGCCCCUGGCCACCAUGUGCUGUUUUGCUGCGUGGGAUGUACUGCCUCUCCUGCCCUACUUUGCCCGGCCCAAUCUGGUUCAGGUGUCUCCUCGGCUUACAGGUUUCCACAGUCAAGUGAGGGGCCAGUACUGGGCUCUCACGGUUGCAUUUCCUGUCCUUUCUCAGCCCUGACCUCACUGGACUGUAAUCGGCUCCCUAUCCCUCCCAGUCAGCAGCGGCUCUCAGAUUCAUGGAGUGCUGAGAUCAGCCUGUAGAAAACACAGAUUCCUGGGUCACAAUGGGGCCUGGGUUGAUCCAGUAGGUCUGAGUUGGAGCCCAGGUGUCUGCAUUCUUAUGUGCUCUGGUGGUUCUGAUACAGGUGGUUACAGCCACCACUGGAGAAACCCUGGGCAACAUGAGGACAGGGCCUGGUACAUCCUGAGCCUGGUCCAGACCAGACCUAGAGCAAGUGUCUGAUAAGUGACACGAGCGCCCCUGAGGUGAGUUGAGAAUUACCCAGGAAAUCCCACUGAGAGUGGCUCUUUCUGCGAGUGGCCAGGCCAGUAGAGCGGGGACCGUGAGCUGGCCUGUGUGGCCGGAGAUGAUGGCGACUCAGAACCCACCAAAGAGCCCAGAAGGCCCACUGCCCUGCUGUGCGCACUCCCAGCCUGGGCUCGUCGGGGUCAGCUGGCCUCGGUUUCCUCAGGCACUGUCAUUAUUAGCCUCUGAGAAGCAGGAGGUGUGAGGAGCGGGCCGGGAGCUUCUCAGAAUAGUUCCCUGGGACAGGACAGCCAUCCAUGAUCUGGGCCACAUUGCCGCUCCCAAAUAGGCCUUGGGAGCAAAGUCCAUGAAAUGCAGGCCUGUCAGUGCUGGGAGCCUCCCGAGGGAGGAUGAGGAUGAGGAACUAUGAAAUGAGAGGGAGUUACCCAGGGAGGGUUUUCCUGGCAGAGAGAACAGUGUAAGCCAGUGUCCUGGGGCCCGCGUGUGGCUGGAUGAAGUGGGCAAGAGGGAAAGAAGGGGUAAGGUGGUGGGGAGGAGGCCCACAGGGGCCUGACCACCCGAAACUUUGAGGGCACUGUUAAUGGUGGGGACAGAGGGAAGCUCUGAAGGAUGGGUUUGUUGUUGGGUUUGGUUUGGUUUUCUUGUUUAAAAUAGAACAUUCAGGGCAGGCACCGUGACUAAACCUGUAGUCCCAGCACUUUGAGAGGCCGAGGCGGGAGGAUCGCUUGAGCCCAGGAGUUCAGGACUAGCUGGGCAAUACAGCAAGACUUCAUCUCUACAAAC